Molecule: ribosomal RNA, 465 nt
Filed under: uncultured bacterium
Lineage: Bacteria
Description: partial 16S ribosomal RNA
Rfam family: Bacterial small subunit ribosomal RNA
Source: RNAcentral
GACGAACGCUGGCGGCGUGCUUAACACAUGCAAGUCGAACGGAAAGGCCCCUUUGGGGGUACUCGAGUGGCGCACGAGUGAGUAACACGUGAGUAACCUGCCCUUGACUUCGGGAUAACUUCAGGAAACUGGGGCUAAUACCGGAUAGGAAUCCUUGCUGCAUGGUGGGGGUUGGAAAGCUUCGGCGGUUUUGGAUGGACUCGCGGCUUAUCAGCUUGUUGGUGGGGUAGUGGCUUACCAAGGCUUUGACGGGUAGCCGGCCUGAGAGGGCGACCGGCCACAUUGGGACUGAGAUACGGCCCAGACUCCUACGGGAGGCAGCGGUGGGGAAUAUUGCACAAUGGGCGGAAGCCUGAUGCAGCAACGCCGCGUGCGGGAUGACGGCCUUCGGGUUGUAAACCGCUUUCAGCAGGGGCGAAGCUUGUGGUGACGGUACCUGCAGAAGAAGCACCGGCUAACUACGUG